This 470-nucleotide ribosomal RNA is filed under the name uncultured Methylophilaceae bacterium. RNAcentral describes it as "bacterial SSU rRNA". It matches the Rfam family "Bacterial small subunit ribosomal RNA", at positions 916 to 1381 of the family's 1533-position model. The record is from RNAcentral. Lineage: Bacteria; Pseudomonadati; Pseudomonadota; Betaproteobacteria; Nitrosomonadales; Methylophilaceae.
AGACGGGGCCCGCACAAGCGGUGGAUUAUGUGGAUUAAUUCGAUGCAACGCGAAAACCUUACCUGGCCUUGACAUGUAGCGAACUUUCCAGAGAUGGAUUGGUGCUCGAAAGAGAACGCUAACACAGGUGCUGCAUGGCUGUCGUCAGCUCGUGUCGUGAGAUGUUGGGUUAAGUCCCGCAACGAGCGCAACCCUUGCCAUUAAUUGCCAUCAUUUAGUUGGGCACUUUAAUGGGACUGCCGGUGACAAACCGGAGGAAGGUGGGGAUGACGUCAAGUCCUCAUGGCCCUUAUGGCCAGGGCUUCACACGUAAUACAAUGGUCGGUACAGAGGGUUGCCAAGCCGCGAGGUGGAGCCAAUCCCAGAAAGCCGAUCGUAGUCCGGAUUGUAGUCUGCAACUCGACUACAUGAAGUCGGAAUCGCUAGUAAUCGCGGAUCAGCAUGUCGCGGUGAAUACGUUCCCGGGCCUU